RNAcentral lists this ribosomal RNA (340 nucleotides) under uncultured Anaeroplasmataceae bacterium. RNAcentral's name for it is "partial 16S ribosomal RNA". The record is from RNAcentral. Lineage: Bacteria; Bacillati; Mycoplasmatota; Mollicutes; Anaeroplasmatales; Anaeroplasmataceae.
GGAGUUUGGACCGUGUCUCAGUUCCAAUGUGGCCGAUCAACCUCUCAGUUCGGCUACGCAUCCUCGCCUUGGUGGGCUAUUAUCUCACCAACUAGCUAAUGCGCCGCAGGUCCAUCCUUUAGUGACCCGAAAGGGCCUUUCAAGCAUCCGAGAUGCCUCGGUUGUUGUUAUCCGGUAUUAGCCAAAGUUUCCUCUGGGUAUCCCAAGCUAAAGGGCAGGUUACCUACGUGUUACUCACCCGUUCGCCACUAAGUUAAGAAAGCAAGCUCUCUUAACUCCGUUCGACUUGCAUGUAUUAGGCACGCCGCCAGCGUUCAUCCUGAGCCAUGAUACAAACUCU